UACGGAGGAUCCGAGCGUUAUCCGGAUUUAUUGGGUUUAAAGGGAGCGUAGGCGGACGCUUAAGUCAGUUGUGAAAGUUUGCGGCUCAACCGUAAAAUUGCAGUUGAUACUGGGUGUCUUGAGUACAGUAGAGGCAGGCGGAAUUCGUGGUGUAGCGGUGAAAUGCUUAGAUAUCACGAAGAACUCCGAUUGCGAAGGCAGCUUGCUGGACUGUAACUGACGCUGAUGCUCGAAAGUGUGGGUAUCAAACA
Molecule: ribosomal RNA, 251 nt
Filed under: uncultured bacterium
Lineage: Bacteria
Description: partial 16S ribosomal RNA
Rfam family: Bacterial small subunit ribosomal RNA
Source: RNAcentral